GAAUAUUGGACAAUGGGCGAAAGCCUGAUCCAGCCAUGCCGCGUGUGUGAAGAAGGUCUUCGGAUUGUAAAGCACGUUAAGUUGGGAGGAAGGGCAGUAAGCGAAUACCUUGCUGUUGUGGAGGUACCUCCAUAACAAGCACCGGCUAACUCUGUCCCAGCAGCCGCGGUAAUACAUAGGGUGCAAGCGUUCACCGGAAUUACGGGGCGUAACGCGCGCGUAGGUGGUUCGUUAAGUUGGAUGUGAAAUCCCCGGGCUCAACCUGGGAACUGCAUCCAAAACUGGCGAGCUAGAGUAGGGCAGAGGGUGGUGGAAUUUCCUGUGUAGCGGUGAAAUGCGUAGAUAUAGGAAGGAACACCAGUGGCGAAGGCGACCACCUGGGCUCAUACUGACACUGAGGUGCGAAAGCGUGGGGAGCAAACA
Molecule: ribosomal RNA, 423 nt
Filed under: uncultured bacterium
Lineage: Bacteria
Description: partial 16S ribosomal RNA
Rfam family: Bacterial small subunit ribosomal RNA
Source: RNAcentral